AAUAACAAGCACAAGAUAUUUUCUCUUUUUUUUCUCUCUCUCUCUCUCUCCUCGUUCAUGUCAGGGUUCAUUCCAUUUUUAUUUCUUCUAGAAAAUGUGAGGUGAUAUCUCACAUUAACAUAGUAUCAGAGCCAACAUCAGUCGAUUCUGGAUCAGCUCUUCUAUUUUAUAGUAGUUUCAUCGGAUUCCACCGGAGAUUCUGUUCCGUCAAGUUUUUUUUUGGUAAUUUCGUUUCUACUAGGUAUUCGCUGAUCUCUCU
RNAcentral lists this long non-coding RNA (259 nucleotides) under Nicotiana benthamiana. Its description in RNAcentral is "long non-coding RNA (NBEN_LNC013143)". Lineage: Eukaryota; Viridiplantae; Streptophyta; Magnoliopsida; Solanales; Solanaceae. The record is from RNAcentral.